Molecule: ribosomal RNA, 450 nt
Filed under: uncultured bacterium
Lineage: Bacteria
Description: partial 16S ribosomal RNA
Rfam family: Bacterial small subunit ribosomal RNA
Source: RNAcentral
GUGGGGAAUCUUCCGCAAUGGACGAAAGUCUGACGGAGCAACGCCGCGUGAGUGAUGAAGGUCUUCGGAUUGUAAAGCUCUGUUAAUCGGGACGAAAGAGCCUAGUGUGAAUAAUGCUAGGAAGUGACGGUACCGGAAUAGAAAGCCACGGCUAACUACGUGCCAGCAGCCGCGGUAAUACGUAGGUGGCAAGCGUUGUCCGGAAUUAUUGGGCGUAAAGCGCGCGCAGGCGGAUCUGCCAGUCUGUCUUAAAAGUUCGGGGCUUAACACCGUGAUGGGAUGGAAACUACAGAUCUAGAGUAUCGGAGAGGAAAGUGGAAUUCCUAGUGUAGCGGUGAAAUGCGUAGAUAUUAGGAAGAACACCAGUGGCGAAGGCGACUUUCUGGACGAAAACUGACGCUGAGGCGCGAAAGCCAGGGGAGCGAACGGGAUUAGAUACCCUAGUAGUCC